Canis lupus familiaris (dog) is the source of this 936-nucleotide long non-coding RNA. RefSeq lists it as uncharacterized. NCBI's taxonomy places the organism in Eukaryota, Metazoa, Chordata, Mammalia, Carnivora, Canidae. The record is from RefSeq and is a predicted model, not a curated record. The transcript has 5 exons.
GUGUGACUUCACAAAAGCUUCUCUGAAAAGGGAGUAGGCCAGGAAAUCAUAGGGGCUCGGGGAACAGCUCUGUUCUCAGCCACCGAAUCUGGCAAAAACUGGAUUGGUGUUGUAGAAAGAACACUCUGGAGAUUGGAGAUUGUGCAGGAAAACCACACUACACAUCACAGAUUUAGGAAGGAAGAAGAAGGAAGGAAGGAAAGAAGGAAGGAAAUAAAAUAGCUCAGAUAAGGACUCAAGUGAGGAACAUGCUAUAUUUGAGAAGAUAACAUUUUGGAACCGGUAUAUGUAACCCUGAAUGUAGGAACAUAUUCCAAUAUAUUAAGGCAGUCUCUGAGGACACUGUGCUUCCUGUGACAAGACGGAAGAUCAGAGGGGAGGAGUAGUUUGAGUAUUCUUACAUAAAAUCUUUGGCUCGCUUCCUGAGAUGUGAGAUCUAAGUGCAAGACUCUUAUUUCAAAGUUGUAAACAAGUUCAGUGGACUCCAAAUUCUGGAUCUUGUAGAUGGUCCUACUAACUUCUUAGAGGAUGCGAGCUAAAUGUUUAUGUCCUUUGAAACCCCUUGAGUGUUACUGAGUAUAAAUUCUGAGAGUCACCUGAGAGUCCAAUGUUAGCUGAUCUUGAGAUGGGAUGGAAGUACUUCAGUACGUAAUGAAGAUGCUAGAGCAAAAGUGCUCUGCUUAAAAACAAAACAAAACAAAAACAGAGAAAGAUAGAAAGGAUAAGAAGUGUGGAGGAGAAGGAAAAGAAAAGGCUGCAUGGGUGCCCAUCCAUCGAUGAAGAGGAGGAAACCAAGAGGCUGGCCGCUGAGGAGAGGUAUCAGGAUGGAAAAGAAAUGUUUGUAGCAUUUUAAAAUGGUAACUUACUUGCCAAAUGAUCACAUUGUAAACCACUUCCUCCAUUUCUACCUCUCUUUAAAAAAACUUUUAAUAAAAU